This 436-nucleotide ribosomal RNA is filed under the name uncultured Methanosaeta sp. RNAcentral's name for it is "bacterial SSU rRNA". It matches the Rfam family "Archaeal small subunit ribosomal RNA", at positions 202 to 638 of the family's 1478-position model. Lineage: Archaea; Methanobacteriati; Methanobacteriota; Methanomicrobia; Methanotrichales; Methanotrichaceae. The record is from RNAcentral.
CCUAAGGAUGGGUCUGCGGCCUAUCAGGUAGUAGUGGGUGUAGCGUACCUACUAGCCUACGACGGGUACGGGUUGUGAGAGCAAGAGCCCGGAGAUGGAUUCUGAGACACGAAUCCAGGCCCUACGGGGUGCAGCAGGCGCGAAAACUUUACAAUGCUGGAAACAGCGAUAAGGGGACCUCGAGUGCCAGGUUACAAAUCUGGCUGUCGUGAUGCCUAAAAAGCAUUGCAUAGCAAGGGCCGGGCAAGACCGGUGCCAGCCGCCGCGGUAACACCGGCGGCUCGAGUGGUAACCGUUAUUAUUGGGUCUAAAGGGUCUGUAGCCGGCCGGAUAAGUCUCUUGGGAAAUCUGGCAGCUUAACUGUCAGGCUUUCAGGGGAUACUGUCUGGCUCGAGGCCGGGAGAGGUGAGAGGUACUUCAGGGGUAGGGGUGAAAU